This 425-nucleotide ribosomal RNA is filed under the name uncultured bacterium. RNAcentral's name for it is "bacterial SSU rRNA". It matches the Rfam family "Bacterial small subunit ribosomal RNA", at positions 356 to 773 of the family's 1533-position model. The record is from RNAcentral.
GGGGAAUAUUGCGCAAUGGGCGAAAGCCUGACGCAGCAACGCCGCGUGGGUGAUGAAGGCCUUCGGGUCGUAAAACCCUGUCAGAGGGGAAAAACAAGCGAGGUAGGAAAUGCCCUCGCUCUGAUGGUACCCUUAAAGGAAGCACCGGCUAACUCCGUGCCAGCAGCCGCGGUAAUACGGGGGGUGCAAGCGUUGUUCGGAAUCACUGGGCGUAAAGCGCGUGUAGGCGGGUGGCUAAGUCAGAUGUGAAAGCCCAUGGCGUAACCGUGGAAGUGCAUUUGAAACUGGCCGUCUAGAGUGCGGAAGGGGGAGGGGGAAUUCCCGGUGUAGAGGUGAGAUUCGUAGAUAUCGGGAGGAAUACCGGUGGCGAAGGCGCCCUCCUGGGCCGCUACUGACGCUGAGACGCGAAAGCGUGGGGAGCAAAC